Molecule: small nucleolar RNA, 214 nt
Filed under: Sus scrofa (pig)
Lineage: Eukaryota; Metazoa; Chordata; Mammalia; Artiodactyla; Suidae
Description: Small nucleolar RNA U3 (ENSSSCG00070002992.1)
Rfam family: Small nucleolar RNA U3
About the family: Small nucleolar RNAs (snoRNAs) are involved in the processing and modification of rRNA in the nucleolus. There are two main classes of snoRNAs: the box C/D class, and the box H/ACA class. U3 snoRNA is a member of the box C/D class.
Source: RNAcentral
AAGACUAUACUUUCUUUCAGGGUUUCUAUAGUCUGUGACUGGAGAAGUUUCUCUGAACGUGUAGAGCACCCGAAACCAGGGAGGAGACGCAGUGUUCUCUCCUGAGCGUGAAGCCGGCUCUUGGUGUUGCCUGUGCAGCUGCCACUUGCCCUUGAUGAUCGUUCUCCUCUCUCUGGUUGAGAGAGGCAGAGGGAGAGAACACCGUCUGAGUGGU